This 644-nucleotide ribosomal RNA is filed under the name uncultured Gammaproteobacteria bacterium. RNAcentral describes it as "bacterial SSU rRNA". It matches the Rfam family "Bacterial small subunit ribosomal RNA", at positions 752 to 1397 of the family's 1533-position model. Lineage: Bacteria; Pseudomonadati; Pseudomonadota; Gammaproteobacteria. The record is from RNAcentral.
CUCGAAAGCGGGGUAGCAAACAGGAUUAGAUACCUGGUAGUCCACGCCGUAAACGAUGUCUGCUAGUCGUUGGGUCCCUUGAGGACUUAGUGACGCAGCUAACGCAAUAAGUAGACCGCCUGGGGAGUACGGCCGCAAGGUUAAAACUCAAAUGAAUUGACGGGGGCCCGCACAAGCGGUGGAGCAUGUGGUUUAAUUCGAUGCAACGCGAAGAACCUUACCUGGUCUUGACAUAUCUAGAAUCCUGCAGAGAUGCGGGAGUGCCUUCGGGAAUUAGAAUACAGGUGCUGCAUGGCUGUCGUCAGCUCGUGUCGUGAGAUGUUGGGUUAAGUCCCGCAACGAGCGCAACCCUUGUCCUUAGUUACCAGCGGGUUAAGCCGGGAACUCUAAGGAUACUGCCAGUGACAAACUGGAGGAAGGCGGGGACGACGUCAAGUCAUCAUGGCCCUUACGACCAGGGCUACACACGUGCUACAAUGGUAGGUACAGAGGGCAGCUACACAGCGAUGUGAUGCGAAUCUCAAAAAGCCUAUCGUAGUCCAGAUUGGAGUCUGCAACUCGACUCCAUGAAGUAGGAAUCGCUAGUAAUCGCGGAUCAGAAUGCCGCGGUGAAUACGUUCCCGGGCCUUGUACACACCGCCCGU